AUUGAACGCUGGCGGCAUGCCUUACACAUGCAAGUCGAACGGCAGCACGGGAGCAAUCCUGGUGGCGAGUGGCGAACGGGUGAGUAAUAUAUCGGAACGUGCCCGGUCGUGGGGAUAACGUAGCGAAAGCUACGCUAAUACCGCAUACGAUCUACGGAUGAAAGCGGGGGAUCGCAAGACCUCGCGCGAUUGGAGCGGCCGAUAUCAGAUUAGGUAGUUGGUGAGGUAAAGGCUCACCAAGCCGACGAUCUGUAGCUGGUCUGAGAGGACGACCAGCCACACUGGGACUGAGACACGGCCCAGACUCUACGGGAGCAGCAGUGGGGAAUUUUGGGACAAUGGGCGCAAGCCUGAUCCAGCAAUG
RNAcentral lists this ribosomal RNA (364 nucleotides) under uncultured bacterium. RNAcentral's name for it is "bacterial SSU rRNA". It matches the Rfam family "Bacterial small subunit ribosomal RNA", at positions 30 to 396 of the family's 1533-position model. The record is from RNAcentral.